AUGUCAUAUAGGAGCAAUAACCCUGAGAUCUCAUCAUUUGCCUCUAGUUAUCCAAUGCAGGGAUUUAGGUAUGAAGAGGAGAGCCACAACUAUGCUCCACAACAGAUUUAUUCAGCUCCUAGUCAUAUACCUCAACACCAGGACAUGUUGCCAAUGGAGUUAAAUGGUCCUCCAUUUGGUCAACCAACACCUUCAACACAAGUGCCCACACAAGAUGACUUUGAUGAUAUAGACAAGCUCACAUUGCUUAGUCUUGAGUUCACUUGGAGUGCCGAGGAUGAUCCUAUUAGGAAGGUUAUUCUAGAGGAAAUGAAGAAGAUCGAGAGUGGAAAAGAGCUAGUGGAAGAAGUAAGGAAUAUUGAGAAGAACAUCAACGCUGGCAACACUAUUUCUUCACAACUUGAGUUGAGUGUGGGUGAGAUAUCCAUGGAUACAUGUGAGGUUCCAACACCUUCACAUUUCGUUGAGCAAGAUAGCAAGUGCCUUGAGCAAGAGAUACCUCAGAUUGAAUAA
This 513-nucleotide ribosomal RNA is filed under the name Triticum aestivum (bread wheat). RNAcentral describes it as "partial small subunit ribosomal RNA". Lineage: Eukaryota; Viridiplantae; Streptophyta; Magnoliopsida; Poales; Poaceae. The record is from RNAcentral.